CCUACGGGAGGCUGCAGUGGGGAAUAUUGCACAAUGGGCGAAAGCCUGAUGCAGCAACGCCGCGUGAGUGAAGAAGGUCUUCGGAUCGUAAAACUCUGUCCUUAGGGAAGAAACAAAUGACGGUACCUAAGGAGGAAGCCCCGGCUAACUACGUGCCAGCAGCCGCGGUAAUACGUAGGGGGCAAGCGUUAUCCGGAAUUAUUGGGCGUAAAGAGUACGUAGGUGGUUUUGUAAGCGCAGGGUGAAAGGCCGAGGCUCAACUUCGGUUAGCCUUGCGAACUGCAAGACUUGAGUGCAGGAGAGGAAAGUGGAAUUCCUAGUGUAGCGGUGAAAUGCGUAGAUAUUAGGAGGAACAUCAGUGGCGAAGGCGACUUUCUGGACUGUAACUGACACUGAGGUACGAAAGCGUGGGGAGCAAACAGGCUUAGAUACCCCAGUAGUC
This 442-nucleotide ribosomal RNA is filed under the name uncultured Eubacteriales bacterium. RNAcentral describes it as "bacterial SSU rRNA". It matches the Rfam family "Bacterial small subunit ribosomal RNA", at positions 338 to 795 of the family's 1533-position model. Lineage: Bacteria; Bacillati; Bacillota; Clostridia; Eubacteriales. The record is from RNAcentral.